GCUGUUGGGACUUGUCACUUGUUGCGUCUCAGGUGUUUGCAGACAUUCUUACAAUUGGAGUAUAUAUUUACGCAAGCUCCUUUACCUUUAGGUCAAUUAGUACGUCCAUGGAGAAACCUCUGGAUCCAACACUUUCAUCUUCAUCAAAUCAAGUAUUCUUGAGUUUUAGAGCAGACGACUCUUGCUGCAUGUCUUUCACUGAUCACCUUUACACUGCCUUAGUUCAAGCUGGGUUUCAAACAUUCAAACAGGACACUGACACAAGAAAAGAACAACUCCACAACGCAAUCCGAGAAUCGAAAGUUUCGGUGAUUGUCCUGUCCGAAGGUUAUGCCUUUUCUCAAUCAUGUCUUGAUCAGCUGGAUGUGAUUCUGACAUGUAAGGAGAAAUUGGAUCGGGCAAUUCUACCCGUGUUCUACUAUGUGGAUCCUUCUGAUGUUAGGAAGAAGAAGGGAAGGAUUGGGGAAGCAAUAGCAUCGCAUGAACAAGAAUUGAAAUGGGAAAGCAGUGGAAGGGAAAGGGUAGAAAGAUGGAAGAAGGCACUUGCUAAAGUUGCUGACUUGGGGGGAAUGGUCUUACACAAUCAAGCUCGUGGGCCUGAGUCAAAAUUUAUUCGAAAGAUUGUUAAUGUGGUCACAAAUAGACUAAGUCGAACAGCUUUGUAUGUUGCACCUUACCUAAUCGGCAUUGAUCGCCGGGCUAAGCAUAUUAGCUUUUGGCUGCAAAAUGGAUCGGCUGACGUUGGCAUAUUGAUGGUUUACGGCAUGGGCGGUAUAGGGAAGACGACUCUGGCCAAGUUCAUCUACAAUUCAAACUUUCAUGCUUUUGAAGGUAGCAGCUUUGUGCUUAACAUAAGAGAAAUUUCAAAGCAACCUAACGGUUUAGUUAAAUUGCAAAAGCAAAUACUUUCUGACAUUCUAAAAAGGGCAAAGGAACGAGUAUCAUGCGUUGAUGAAGGAAUUGUUAAGAUUUCAGAUGCCUUAAGUGGCAAAAGAGUCCUACUUGUUCUUGAUGAUGUGGAUGAUUCUGAUCAACUAAAUGCAGUAUUGGGGAUGAAAAGUUUAUUUUACUCAGGAAGUAAAAUCAUCAUAACAACCCGACAUGAGCGAAUUCUAAAUCCUCACCUAGUUGAUAAGGUGUAUACCGUUGAGAAACUGGGCACGGACGAAUCCUUAGAGCUCUUCAGUUGGCAUGCCUUUGGAAAACCACAUCCUGUGGAAGGUUUUCUUGUGGGUUCAAAUGAAGUAGUGAAACGGUGUGGAGGAAUUCCACUUGCACUAAGAGUUUUGGGUUCUUCCCUGGCAGGACAAAAUUUGGAUGUAUGGCAAAGUACAAUAAAGAAGUUGCAAGUUGUUCCUAAUAAUCGGAUUAUUGAACUGCUCAAAAUCAGUUAUGAAUCUCUAGAAGAUGAUGAUAGGAGUUUAUUCCUUCAUAUUGCCUGUUUCUUUCUCUGGGAGGAUAAAGAUUUUGCUGUCAAAAUACUGGAUAAAUGUGAACUUUUCACUAUAGUGGGGAUCCAAAACCUCAUUGAUAGAGAUCUCUUGUCAAUACCAAAUGGUAGGCUCGUCAUGCAUCAACUGAUUCAAGAUCUGGGAAGAGAAAUUGUUCGUCAAGAAUCUGUUAAGGAGCCAGAGAGGCGUAGUAGACUGUGGCGUCAUGAAGAAUCUUUGUACGUAUUGAGAAACAAAACGGGAACUGAAGCAAUUGAAGGCAUCAUUCUCGACGGAAAUAUGCGUAAGGGGCAAGAAUCAACCAGGAUAACAUCUAAUGAAAAUUAUGGCAAAAAAAGUAAAGUAAAAGAAUUUAUGAAUAAUUCUCAGGAAGAUCGACCAAAGCGGAAUUGGAUGUCCAUUUUCUCUCGUCAUAUCAUGGGCACAAGGGAAGUUCCAAAUGAGGAUUUGGAAACUGACUCAUUCACAAACAUGCACAAGUUGAAAUUUCUGUUGCUUAGCAAUAUACAACUUUCUGGAUGUUACAGCAAAUUUCCCAAGAAAUUAAGAUGGUUGUUUUGGCGUUAUCUCCAGUUAGAAUCCCUACCAAGCGACUUUCCGAUGGGAAAACUUGUUGCUAUAGACCUUUGUUACAGCAGCUUGAAACAACUUUGGACAGCACCAAAGUUACUCAGAUGGUUAAAAUUUCUCAAUCUCAGCCACUCUUAUCAGCUUAGAAGAACUCCUGAUUUUUCAUUACUUCCCAACCUUGAACAAUUAAUCCUCGAAUAUUGUACAAGUCUAACUGAGGUGGAUGACACUAUUGCAUAUCUGGAAGGACUCACUGUUUUAAGCCUUAAUGGUUGUAUAAACUUGAGGAGCAUUUCAGAAAGUGUUUGCAUGUUAACACAUCUUGAGACCCUUGAUAUUUCUGGUUGCUCGAAUCUUGAAUAUGUCGCCCUGAAGCUUGAAAAGUCGGAUUUUCCAAGUGAGCUUUCAGAUGAAAGUGGAAGAAACCAAAUAGAUAGUACCAAGCUAGUAAGACCAUGGCAUACAAUCUUGUGGUCUUUGCUGAGGAAGGAGAAAGUAUGUCAUAGAGUUUCACCAAUCAGUUUUCCGACUUCUCUAGUUACUCUAAGACUUUCUGACUGCAAUCUGGGUGAUAAUGCAUUUCUCCAUGUUGAUUUUAGUAAGCUCAAUUUGCUGAAAGAAUUGAGUUUGAGCCGAAAUCCACUUUGCCAUCCCCCAGAGAGCAUUAGAUAUCUUAGCAGGCUCGAAAAUCUUUCACUAAAUUCGUGUACAAGGCUAAAAUCAGUACUCGAGCUGCCAAAUGGUGUUGAGAUUGUUGAUACAACUGACUGUAUAUCCUUGGAGAAAGUAUCAGGUGCACCUAGCUCAUGCAGCAUUCUGUACAUAAAUUGUGCCAAUCUGGUUGAGAUGAGCUCUAAUUUCAAGUUAGAACAUCUUGAAAAUGUCAAUGCAGAAAUUCUUGGCUAUUUGGGUUUGUCAAACUUGGAGUUGAUUAGAAAUGUUACUUUUAGAUUAAGAUUUGACAUUCAGAAAUUGCAUACUGACGAAAUGGAAUUUCCAGAGUUUGUCCAAAAUGACAUGGCAAAAUUACAAUCUCUCCCACCUAAGAAGCUUCCCGCUCAGGGAUAUUACUGCAAUGGCGUCUUCUCCACAUUCCUAUCGGGUGAACACGUGCCAAGUUGCUUUGAUACGAAGUUGAGUGAGCCUUUCUGUUCAUCGUUCAUCGUUCCUACUCCUGAUAAUCAUAGAAUUCGAGGCUUGAGUUUUUGCUUGGUGUAUACAUGCUUGGAGAGUGAAGAAAUGGUAAGUGAGGGCCAUUGCCUGUCCAUUACAAUUAAUAAUUUGUCGCAAAAGAUCAAGUGGAAGCAAGACCCUAUAUUUCUAGCUAUUCCUGAAGUUGAAGAACGGAUGAUGUGGCUAAGUUAUUGGGAAAUUGGCAACUCGUUGCAAACAGGCGAUGUUGUAGAGAUUUCAGCCAGUGUUGGAGAUAAACAACGUUUCAGUAUCAACGAGGUUGGAAUGAGGAUUAUAUUCCUGGAAGAACAACAAGACCAGGACAAAGAAUCUAAUUGUGAAGUUGAAGAGUUUUUUUCUAGUCCAUGUCAUCAGAGUUUGCUCCUUGUCAGAGUCUUCCCAAUGUGAUAAAAGGAAGAAAAAAAACAAGAACGAAGACUAGGGGAAUCCUACAUUACUAAUGCAGCUGUCAGAGUGGGGAAAUGUUGGCGUGAAUCUUCAGAAGAUAUGAACCUUCCAGUGGUUUGCCUAAAUAGGGUAGCAAACUAUAAAUUUGUUAAUAGAACAGUGGACAGAUUCUUGGGUAAGGAAAGGUAAAGGUUGUUGGUUUGAUCAGAUAUAGAUGCCUAACUUCAGAAUUAGGCAAGACAAAGUAAGCAACUUCAGAUCCUGAUAUGGAAAUUCCAAAAUAUUAUAGUGUACCACAUUCAGUAAAGUAGAGGACAGAUUCAUCCUUACUUUCAGGGGGUUCCCCCUUUGGAUACACAUUAUUUUAUUAUGCUGAAGUGACAGAUUGAGCUAGUUCAUAGAAUAUACUCCGUAUAAAUUAAUUACAGUUAGUGAUAAAAGUGUAUGAAAGAGUGCAAUGUAUUUAUUAUUUUGAUGUAAAUCUUGGGUGUGAAAAAGACGUUUUCUCUUUA
Molecule: RNA transcript, 4114 nt
Organism: Nicotiana attenuata
Lineage: Eukaryota; Viridiplantae; Streptophyta; Magnoliopsida; Solanales; Solanaceae
Gene name: disease resistance protein RML1A-like
Exons: 7
Source: RefSeq, a predicted model, not a curated record